CCUACGGGGCGCAGCAGUGAGGAAUAUUGGUCAAUGGACGAGAGUCUGAACCAGCCAAGUAGCGUGAAGGAUGACUGCCCUAUGGGUUGUAAACUUCUUUUAUAAAGGAAUAAAACGAGGCACGUGUGCCUUUUUGCAUGUACUUUAUGAAUAAGGAUCGGCUAACUCCGUGCCAGCAGCCGCGGUAAUACGGAGGAUCCGAGCGUUAUCCGGAUUUAUUGGGUUUAAAGGGAGCGUAGAUGGGUUGUUAAGUCAGUUGUGAAAGUUUGCGGCUCAACCGUAAAAUUGCAAUUGAUACUGGCAGUCGUGAGUACAGUUGAGGUAGGCGGAAUUCGUGGUGUAGCGGUGAAAUGCUUAGAUAUCACGAAGAACCCCGAUUGCGAAGGCAGCUUACUAAACUGUGACUGACAUUGAUGCUCGAAAGUGUGGGUAUCAAACAGGAGUAGAUACCCCAGUAGUC
RNAcentral lists this ribosomal RNA (460 nucleotides) under uncultured bacterium. Its description in RNAcentral is "partial 16S ribosomal RNA". It matches the Rfam family "Bacterial small subunit ribosomal RNA", at positions 338 to 795 of the family's 1533-position model. The record is from RNAcentral.